RNAcentral lists this ribosomal RNA (428 nucleotides) under uncultured archaeon. RNAcentral's name for it is "bacterial SSU rRNA". It matches the Rfam family "Archaeal small subunit ribosomal RNA", at positions 474 to 903 of the family's 1478-position model. The record is from RNAcentral.
UACCUGCAGCUCUAGUGGUGACCGCUAUUAUUGGGCCUAAAACGUCCGUAGCCGGCUUAUUAAAUGCCUGGGUAAAUCGUACGGCUUAACCGUACGAAUUCCGGGUAGACUGAUAGGCUUGGGACCGGGAGAAGCUAGAGGUACUCCUGGGGUAGAGGUGAAAUUCUGUAAUCCUAGGGGGACCACCAGUGGCGAAGGCGUCUAGCUAGAACGGGUUUGACGGUGAGGGACGAAGCCCUGGGGAGCAAACGGGAUUAGAUACCCCGGUAGUCCAGGGUGUAAACGCUGCUUGCUUGAUGUUAGUCGGGCUCCGAGCCCGAUUAGUGUCGGAGAGAAGUUGUUAAGCAAGCUGCCUGGGAAGUACGGCCGCAAGACUGAAACUUAAAGGAAUUGGCGGGGAGCACUGCAACGGGUGGAGCGUGCGGUUU